GAUGAACGCUGGCGGCGUGCCUAAUACAUGCAAGUCGAACGCUUUGUCUUUAAUUGAUAUGAAGAGCUUGCUCUGAUUUGAUUUUAUCUGACAAAGAGUGGCGAACGGGUGAGUAACACGUGGGUAACCUACCUCUUAGCAGGGGAUAACGUUUGGAAACAAGUGCUAAUACCGUAUAACACUAACAACCGCAUGGUUGUUAGUUGAAAGAUGGUUCUGCUAUCACUAAGAGAUGGACCCGCGGUGCAUUAGCUAGUUGGUAAGGUAAUGGCUUACCAAGGCGAUGAUGCGUAGCCGAGUUGAGAGACUGAUCGGCCACAAUGGGACUGAGACACGGCCCAUACUCCUACGGGAGGCAGCAGUAGGGAAUCUUCCACAAAGGGCGCAAGCCUGAUGGAGCAACGCCGCGUGUGUGAUGAAGGGUUUCGGCUCGUAAAACACUGUUAUAAGAGAAGAACGACAUUGAGAGUAACUGUUCAGUGUGUGACGGUAUCUUAUCAGAAAGGAACGGCUAAAUACGUG
This 522-nucleotide ribosomal RNA is filed under the name uncultured bacterium. RNAcentral describes it as "partial 16S ribosomal RNA". It matches the Rfam family "Bacterial small subunit ribosomal RNA", at positions 28 to 507 of the family's 1533-position model. The record is from RNAcentral.